AAACAUCUAAGUACCCCGAGGAAAAGAAAUCAACCGAGAUUCCCCCAGUAGCGGCGAGCGAACGGGGAGGAGCCCAGAGCCUGAAUCAGCAUGUGUGUUAGUGGAAGCGUCUGGAAAGGCGCGCGAUACAGGGUGACAGCCCCGUACACAAAAGCGCAUGUGCUGUGAGCUCGAUGAGUAGGGCGGGACACGUGGUAUCCUGUCUGAAUAUGGGGGGACCAUCCUCCAAGGCUAAAUACUCCUGACUGACCGAUAGUGAACCAGUACCGUGAGGGAAAGGCGAAAAGAACCCCGGCGAGGGGAGUGAAAAAGAACCUGAAACCGUGUACGUACAAGCAGUGGGAGCACCCUUUGGGGUGUGACUGCGUACCUUUUGUAUAAUGGGUCAGCGACUUAUAUUCUGUAGCAAGGUUAACCGAAUAGGGGAGCCGGAGGGAAACCGAGUCUUAACCGGGCGUUAAGUUGCAGGGUAUAGACCCGAAACCCGGUGAUCUAGCCAUGGGCAGGUUGAAGGUUGGGUAACACUAACUGGAGGACCGAACCGACUAAUGUUGAAAAAUUAGCGGAUGACCUGUGGCUGGGGGUGAAAGGCCAAUCAAACCGGGAGAUAGCUGGUUCUCCCCGAAAGCUAUUUAGGUAGCGCCUCGUGAAUUCAUCUCCGGGGGUAGAGCACUGUUUCGGCUAGGGGGCCAUCCCGGCUUACCAACCCGAUGCAAACUGCGAAUACCGGAGAAUGUUAUCACGGGAGACACACGGCGGGUGCUAACGUCCGUCGUGAAGAGGGAAACAACCCAGACCGCCAGCUAAGGUCCCAAAGUCAUGGUUAAGUGGGAAACGAUGUGGGAAGGCCCAGACAGCCAGGAUGUUGGCUUAGAAGCAGCCAUCAUUUAAAGAAAGCGUAAUAGCUCACUGGUCGAGUCGGCCUGCGCGGAAGAUGUAACGGGGCUAAACCAUGCAC
Molecule: ribosomal RNA, 958 nt
Filed under: Salmonella enterica subsp. enterica
Lineage: Bacteria; Pseudomonadati; Pseudomonadota; Gammaproteobacteria; Enterobacterales; Enterobacteriaceae
Description: partial 23S ribosomal RNA
Rfam family: Bacterial large subunit ribosomal RNA
Source: RNAcentral